RNAcentral lists this ribosomal RNA (253 nucleotides) under uncultured bacterium. Its description in RNAcentral is "partial 16S ribosomal RNA". It matches the Rfam family "Bacterial small subunit ribosomal RNA", at positions 524 to 776 of the family's 1533-position model. The record is from RNAcentral.
UACGUAGGGUGCGAGCGUUGUCCGGAAUUAUUGGGCGUAAAGAGCUUGUAGGCGGUUUGUCGCGUCUGCCGUGAAAAUUCGGGGCUCAACCCCGGACUUGCGGUGGGUACGGGCAGACUAGAGUGUGGUAGGGGAGACUGGAAUUCCUGGUGUAGCGGUGAAAUGCGCAGAUAUCAGGAGGAACACCGAUGGCGAAGGCAGGUCUCUGGGCCACUACUGACGCUGAGAAGCGAAAGCGUGGGGAGCGAACAGG